GGACUCACAUUAUGUCCUUCAGGUUGGAACAGGCCUGGCUGAGACUGACUACACUGAUAAUAUAGUAGGUUGGACUCACAUUAUGUCCUUCAGGUUGGAACAGGCCUGGCUGAGACUGACUACACUGAUAAUAUAGUAGGUUGGACUCACAUUAUGUCCUUCAGGUUGGAACAGGCCUGGCUGAGACUGACUACACUGAUAAUAUAGUAGGUUGGACUCACAUUAUGUCCUUCAGGUUGGAACAGGCCUGGCUGAGACUGACUACACUGAUAAUAUAGUAGGUUGGACUCACAUUAUGUCCUUCAGGUUGGAACAGGCCUGGCUGAGACUGACUACACUGAUAAUAUAGUAGGUUGGACUCACAUUAUGUCCUUCAGGUUGGAACAGGCCUGGCUGAGACUGACUACACUGAUAAUAUAGUAGGUUGGACUCACAUUAUGUCCUUCAGGUUGGAACAGGCCUGGCUGAGACUGAC
Molecule: long non-coding RNA, 475 nt
Organism: Oncorhynchus keta (chum salmon)
Lineage: Eukaryota; Metazoa; Chordata; Actinopteri; Salmoniformes; Salmonidae
Exons: 4
Source: RefSeq, a predicted model, not a curated record